GACGAACGCUGGCGGCGGGCUUAACACAUGCAAGUCGAACGGAAAGUCCGUUCGUUUUUUUGGUGCUCGAGUGGCGAACGGGUGCGUAACACGUGUGUAACCUGCCCGCGACUGUGGGAUAACUUCACGAAACUGGAGCUAAUCCCCCAUAAGAGCUCCUGCUGCCUUGUGGGUAUUGUAAAGUUUCGGCGGGUGGGGAUGGACUCGGCGCUUGUCUUGUUGGUUGGGGGGGAGUGGCUUACCAAGGCCUUUACGGGUAGCCGGCCUGAGGGGGUGAACGGCGACACUGGGAAUGCGAUAACGCCAAGACUCAUAAGGGAGGCAGCAGUGGGGAAUAUUGCACAAUGGGCGGAAGCCUGAUGCAGCAACGCAGCGUGUGGGAUGACGGACUUCGGGUUGUAAACCGCUUUAGCCUGUGACGAAGCGUGAGUGACGGUAAUGGGUAAAGAAGCAACGGCUAACUACGUG
RNAcentral lists this ribosomal RNA (468 nucleotides) under uncultured bacterium. RNAcentral describes it as "partial 16S ribosomal RNA". It matches the Rfam family "Bacterial small subunit ribosomal RNA", at positions 28 to 507 of the family's 1533-position model. The record is from RNAcentral.